Molecule: transfer RNA, 68 nt
Filed under: uncultured Euryhalocaulis sp.
Lineage: Bacteria; Pseudomonadati; Pseudomonadota; Alphaproteobacteria; Maricaulales; Maricaulaceae
Rfam family: tRNA
About the family: Transfer RNA (tRNA) molecules are approximately 80 nucleotides in length. Their secondary structure includes four short double-helical elements and three loops (D, anti-codon, and T loops).
Source: RNAcentral
GGGUAUAGCUCAGUUGGUAGAGCGGCGGUCUCCAAAACCGCAGGUCGCGGGUUCGAAUCCUGCUGCCC